This 88-nucleotide transfer RNA is filed under the name Bacteroidales bacterium. Its description in RNAcentral is "tRNA-Ser". It matches the Rfam family "tRNA". From Rfam's summary of the family: Transfer RNA (tRNA) molecules are approximately 80 nucleotides in length. Their secondary structure includes four short double-helical elements and three loops (D, anti-codon, and T loops). Lineage: Bacteria; Pseudomonadati; Bacteroidota; Bacteroidia; Bacteroidales. The record is from RNAcentral.
GGAGAGAUGCCGGAGUGGUCGAACGGGGCGGUCUCGAAAACCGUUGACCUCUUUUUGGGGUCCAAGGGUUCGAAUCCCUUUCUCUCCG